GCGCCCGAGGCUUGUCCAAGGGCAUUUCCGCUAGAGCGUCACC
This 43-nucleotide ribosomal RNA is filed under the name Thamnobryum maderense. RNAcentral's name for it is "5.8S ribosomal RNA". Lineage: Eukaryota; Viridiplantae; Streptophyta; Bryopsida; Hypnales; Neckeraceae. The record is from RNAcentral.